GACGAACGCUGGCGGCGUGCUUAACACAUGCAAGUCGAACGGAAAGGCCUCUUUCGGGGGGUACUCGAGUGGCGAACGGGUGAGUAACACGUGAGUAACCUGCCCUUGACUUUGGGAUAACUUCAGGAAAAUGGGGCUAAUACCGGAUAGGAGCUCCUGCUGCAUGGUUGGGGUUGGAAAGUUUCGGCGGUUGGGGAUGGACUCGCGGCUUAUCAGCGUGUUGGUGGGGUAGUGGCUUACCAAGGCUUUGACGGGUAGCCGGCCUGGGAGGGUGACCGGCCACCAUGGGACUGAGAGACGGCCCAGACUCCUACGGGAGGCAACAGUGGGGAAUAUUGCACAAUGGGUGGAAGCCUGAGGCAGAAAUGCCGGGAGCGGGAUGACGGCCUUCGGGUUGUAAACCGCUUUCGCUCAUGACGAAGCUUUGUGUGACGGUAGUGGGUAAAGAAGCACCGGCUAACUACGUG
This 467-nucleotide ribosomal RNA is filed under the name uncultured bacterium. Its description in RNAcentral is "partial 16S ribosomal RNA". It matches the Rfam family "Bacterial small subunit ribosomal RNA", at positions 28 to 507 of the family's 1533-position model. The record is from RNAcentral.